UACGUAGGGUGCGAGCGUUGUCCGGAAUUAUUGGGCGUAAAGAGCUCGUAGGCGGUCUGUUGCGUCCGCUGUGAAAACUCGGGGCUUAACCCCGAGCCUGCAGUGGAUACGGGCAGACUAGAGGUAGGUAGGGGAGAAUGGAAUUCCCGGUGUAGCGGUGAAAUGCGCAGAUAUCAGGAGGAACACCGGUGGCGAAGGCGGAUCUCUGGGCCUUACCUGACGCUGAGGCGCGAAAGCUAGGGGAGCAAACAGG
This 253-nucleotide ribosomal RNA is filed under the name uncultured bacterium. RNAcentral's name for it is "partial 16S ribosomal RNA". It matches the Rfam family "Bacterial small subunit ribosomal RNA", at positions 524 to 776 of the family's 1533-position model. The record is from RNAcentral.